CCCCUAGUAACUGCGAGUGAAGCGGGAAAAGCUCAAAUUUAAAAUCUGGCGGUUUAUUAGCUGUCCGAGUUGUAGUCUGGAGAAGUGCUUUCCGUGCUGGACCGUGUACAAGUCCCUUGGAACAGGGCGUCAUAGAGGGUGAGAAUCCCGUCUUUGACACGGACUACCAGUGCUUUGUGAUGCGCUCUCAAAGAGUCGAGUUGUUUGGGAAUGCAGCUCAAAAUGGGUGGUAAAUUCCAUCUAAAGCUAAAUACAGGCGAGAGACCGAUAGCGAACAAGUACCGUGAGGGAAAGAUGAAAAGCACUUUGGAAAGAGAGUUAAACAGUACGUGAAAUUGCUGAAAGGGAAACGCUUGAAGUCAGUCGCGUUGUCCGGAAAUCAGCCUUGCUUUCGCUUGGUGUAUUUUCUGGUUGACGGGCCAGCAUCGAUUUUGACCGUUGGAUAAAGGUGAGGGGAAUGUGGCACCUUCGGGUGUGUUAUAGCCCUUUGUCACAUACAACGGUUGGGAUCGAGGAACUCAGCACGCCUUUAUGGUCGGGGUUCGCCCACGUUCGUGCUUAGGAUGCUGGCAUAAUGGCUUUAAACGACCCGUCUUGAAACACGGACCAAGGAGUCUAACAUGCCUGCGAGUGUUUGGGUGGUAAACCCGAGCGCGUAAUUAAAGUAAAAGUUGAGAUCCCCUUCGCAAGGGAGCAUCGACGCCCGGACUUGACCUUUUGUGAUAGCUCUGCGGUAGAGCAUGUAUGUUGGGACCCGAAAGAUGGUGAACUAUGCCUGAAUAGGGUGAAGCCAGAGGAAACUCUGGUGGAGGCUCGUAGCGAUUCUGACGUGCAAAUCGAUCGUCAAAUUUGGGUAUAGGGGCGAAAGAC
Molecule: ribosomal RNA, 870 nt
Filed under: Fibroporia albicans
Lineage: Eukaryota; Fungi; Basidiomycota; Agaricomycetes; Polyporales; Fibroporiaceae
Description: eukaryotic LSU rRNA
Rfam family: Eukaryotic large subunit ribosomal RNA
Source: RNAcentral